RNAcentral lists this ribosomal RNA (450 nucleotides) under uncultured Entrophospora. RNAcentral's name for it is "SSU rRNA". It matches the Rfam family "Eukaryotic small subunit ribosomal RNA", at positions 569 to 1017 of the family's 1831-position model. Lineage: Eukaryota; Fungi; Glomeromycota; Glomeromycetes; Entrophosporales; Entrophosporaceae. The record is from RNAcentral.
AGCAGCCGCGGUAAUUCCAGCUCCAAUAGCGUAUAUUAAAGUUGUUGCAGUUAAAAAGCUCGUAGUUGAAUUUCGGGAUUGACGUGAUGGUCGUGCCUUAAGGGGUAUGAACUGUUGCAGUCAAUUUCUCACCUUCUGGAGAAAUAUGAUGUCCUUAAUUGGGUGUCAUAUGGAACCAGAACUUUUACCUUGAAAAAAUUAGAGUGUUUAAAGCAAGCUUAUUGCUCGAAUACAUUAGCAUGGAAUAAUAAAAUAGGACGGCAUGGUUCUAUUUUGUUGGUUUCUAGGAUCACCGUAAUGAUUAAUAGGGAUAGUUGGGGGCAUUAGUAUUCAAUUGUCAGAGGUGAAAUUCUUGGAUUUAUUGAAGACUAACUACUGCGAAAGCAUUUGCCAAGGAUGUUUUCAUUAAUCAAGAACGAAAGUUAGGGGAUCGAAGACGAUCAGAUACCG